Molecule: ribosomal RNA, 444 nt
Filed under: Triticum aestivum (bread wheat)
Lineage: Eukaryota; Viridiplantae; Streptophyta; Magnoliopsida; Poales; Poaceae
Description: partial small subunit ribosomal RNA
Source: RNAcentral
AUGGGUCUAUUGUCAUGCCUCUUGCCGGUGCUCCAACUAGGGAAGGUUAUGGGCGCGCGCUACCCUAAUCAGGUAGGCGGACAUAAGCCUUGUGCGCCCGUAGUUGUUAUAGCCGAAUGGUCCCCGUUUGGGACCAUUUAUUUGUUUGCCACGACGGUGGCCGUUGGUGCCUUUGGUAGGCACGAGGCCACCCAUGACAUAGCCCAAAGGGGAGUUGGUCGAAGUGGCCAGGAGAGUGUCAUGGCAGUAGAUCAGUUUUGUCGGAACGUCGUUGGUCCACCCGAAUGGGGGUGCGAGGCCAUGGGUUCUGUGGUGUGGGUAAAGUGUGCUACCUCUGCAGAGAGAGAGAGAGAGAGAGAGAGAGAGAGAGAGAGAGAGAGAGAGAGAGAGAGAGAGAGAGAGAGAGAGAGAGUUAAAUCUAUCGAUAGCCGCGCACGCAGAUAA